RNAcentral lists this ribosomal RNA (366 nucleotides) under Escherichia coli. RNAcentral describes it as "partial 23S ribosomal RNA". It matches the Rfam family "Bacterial large subunit ribosomal RNA", at positions 1291 to 1659 of the family's 2925-position model. The record is from RNAcentral. Lineage: Bacteria; Pseudomonadati; Pseudomonadota; Gammaproteobacteria; Enterobacterales; Enterobacteriaceae.
CGAAUGCUGACAUAAGUAACGAUAAAGCGGGUGAAAAGCCCGCUCGCCGGAAGACCAAGGGUUCCUGUCCAACGUUAAUCGGGGCAGGGUGAGUCGACCCCUAAGGCGAGGCCGAAAGGCGUAGUCGAUGGGAAACAGGUUAAUAUUCCUGUACUUGGUGUUACUGCGAAGGGGGGACGGAGAAGGCUAUGUUGGCCGGGCGACGGUUGUCCCGGUUUAAGCGUGUAGGCUGGUUUUCCAGGCAAAUCCGGAAAAUCAAGGCUGAGGCGUGAUGACGAGGCACUACGGUGCUGAAGCAACAAAUGCCCUGCUUCCAGGAAAAGCCUCUAAGCAUCAGGUAACAUCAAAUCGUACCCCAAACCGACA